AUGCCCGGACACCACUCACUCUCAAUGGAGCUACCACCAUGGACGCCCUUCCUCGGCGUCGCGCUCGCCACCGUGCUCUUCCUCAAGGCCGUCUUCCGUCGCAGCCGUCAGGCAUACAACCUCCCGCCGGGCCCUAAACCAUGGCCGAUCAUCGGCAACCUGAACCUGAUGGGCGCGCUCCCGCACCGCUCCAUCCACGCGCUCUCCAAGAGGUACGGCCCUCUCAUGUACCUCCGGUUUGGAUCGUUCCCCGUCGUGAUCGGCUCGUCGGUUGAGAUGGCCAAGUUCUUCCUCAAGACCCACGACAUGGUGUUCCUCGACCGGCCCAAGAUGGCCGCCGGCAAGUACACGACGUACAACUACAGAGACAUGACCUGGUCCCCGUACGGCGCCUACUGGCGCCAGGCGCGCAAGGUGUGCCUCACCGAGCUCUUCAGCGCCAAGCGGCUCGAGUCAUAUGAGUACAUCCGGAGCCAGGAGAUGCGCGCGCUCCUGCGAGACCUGCACGAGGCCUCCCGGUCCCGGCGCGCCGUGGUGCUCAAGGACUACUUGUCGACCUUGAGCCUGAACGUGAUCACGCGCAUGGUGCUGGGCAAGAAGUACCUGCACAGGGAGGCAACGGACGAAGGGGGCUCCGGCUCCGCGACGACCCUGGCGGAGUUCAAGCGGAUGGUCGACGAGUGGUUCUUGCUCAACGGCGUGCUCAACAUCGGCGACUCCAUCCCGUGGCUGGACUGGCUGGACCUCCAGGGGUACAUCAAGAGGAUGAAGAAGCUGAGCAAGAUGUUUGAUCGGUUCCUCGAACAUGUCGUGGACGAGCACAACGACAGACGCCGAGUCGAGGGGGAGAGCUUCGUCUCGAAGGACAUGGUGGACGUGCUACUCGAGAUAGCCAGAGACCCCAAUCUUGAGGUGCAGAUCGACCGGGAUAGCGUCAAGGCUUUCAUUCAGGACCUCCUCGUCGGCGGCACGGAGAGCUCGGCGGUCGCAGUCGAGUGGGCGAUCUCGGAGCUCCUGAAGAAGCCGGAGGUGUUGACCAAGGCGACCGAGGAGCUGGACCGCGUGGUGGGGCGAGCGCGCUGGGUGACGGAGAAGGACAUCGCGAGCCUCCACGUAUCGUCAAGGAGACGCUGCGGCUGCAUCCGGUGGCGCCGAUGCUGA
RNAcentral lists this ribosomal RNA (1161 nucleotides) under Triticum aestivum (bread wheat). RNAcentral describes it as "partial small subunit ribosomal RNA". The record is from RNAcentral. Lineage: Eukaryota; Viridiplantae; Streptophyta; Magnoliopsida; Poales; Poaceae.